CAGGGCGAAUGUCUUGUAAUUGGAAUGAUGGUGACCCAAACCCUCACCAGAGUAGCAAUUGGAGGGCAAGUCUGGUGCCAGCAGCCGCGGUAAUUCCAGCUCCAAUAGCGUAUAUUAAACUUGUUGCAGUUAAAAAGCUCGUAGUUGUAUUUUUGCGUUGACGGUUUGACCAUUUGGUUGGUUAUUUCGUUUUCGCUUUUGGGAAUUUCCCUUUUUACUUUGAGAAAAUUAGAGUGUUUCAAGCAGACUUUUGUCUUGAAUACUUCAGCAUGGAAUAAUAGAGUAGGACUUUGGUUCUAUUUUGUUGGUUAUUGAGCCUUAGUAAUGGUUAAUAGGAACGGUUGGGGGCAUUCGUAUUUAACUGUCAGAGGUGAAAUUCUUAGAUUUGUUAAAGACGAACUACUGCGAAAGCAUUUGCCAAGGACGUUUCCAUUAAUCAAGAACGAAAGUUAGGGGAUCGAAGA
This 464-nucleotide ribosomal RNA is filed under the name Babesia canis. RNAcentral's name for it is "SSU rRNA". It matches the Rfam family "Eukaryotic small subunit ribosomal RNA", at positions 486 to 1004 of the family's 1831-position model. The record is from RNAcentral. Lineage: Eukaryota; Apicomplexa; Aconoidasida; Piroplasmida; Babesiidae.